Long non-coding RNA from Maniola jurtina (meadow brown), 1278 nucleotides. RefSeq lists it as uncharacterized. The record is from RefSeq and is a predicted model, not a curated record. Lineage: Eukaryota; Metazoa; Arthropoda; Insecta; Lepidoptera; Nymphalidae. The transcript has 2 exons.
ACCACGGAACAGAAAAAACAGUGGAAGUGCUAAGUAGGCGUGGCACGCGUGCCACAAUUAAGAGUCGUUACGCUAAACUGAUCCCAGUCGCGUUCUAACAUCGCGUAGAGUUGGUAGUCUCGCGACAAAUUCAUAUUGCCCUAGCAAUGCCGUACUGUUCCGUUUUGGAGUGUAAAAAUGAUAGUAGGACAAAAAAUCUUAAAAAUGGAGGUAUUUCGUAUCAUCGGUUUCCCAAAGAUGCAAGCAUCAAAGAGAAAUGGAUAGAUGCAACGAGUAGAGUUAAUUGGAUACCAACCGAACUGUUCGUCAGCUGUUGAAAGGAUAAACAGAAGUAGUAUGUCUCAAGAUAUGUCACAAUACGAUCAAAUUGAGGACGAUUCAGAAAUUGAAGAACUAGGAGGGCACUUUUCUGAUUUCAGUAAUAAAGCAAUAGGCCAUAUUGCUGGUUACAUUGCCCGAAUGUUAAUGAAAAAAAUAAACUGUGAUGUCUGUGUUGACGCAUUAGUGACACAUCAUUUUCAACCAGAGAUUUUCGAAAAGAAGUAGCGAUAACUCAAAUAAUGCGAAAGUUCAUAGGAACUCUUUUAUUUAACGAUAUUGCCUCCCAUCAAAUUGGCGAAUUUCUUGCGUCCAAUCACGUUACCGAUUUGAUGAAGGCAAUAGUCGAAAAAAUUUAUAUAAAUGUUCCCAUACAUCAUUUAUUAAAAUUAAAAAUAAGACUUUCGAAACGCCAGUUUCUUAACAAAUAUGUUUUAUUUCAAGGGCAAUAAAUAAAAUUUUACUAUUUUCAUACGUUGCAGUAUUUAUAGUGCAUACUUGUAAAAGGCAUGCACACGUACCAGCACUUUUAUUCAAUUUUAUAUUUACCUUUUUCUAAUUUUAUUUUAGCGAAUGAACAAAAUAACGCGUAUCUAUCGAUAUCGAUAGAUAAUUCAAUGAGCUACGUGGUGCGGCCUUGGCUGAGUAGCAUUAGAAAUCGACCGAUCACGAAAAUGUCAACCAUAUGUUUAACGCAAUUAAGUUUAUAAUUGCUACCACUUAGAAUACCGCCAUCUAUGGUCAAGUAGGGGAAUUAACUGGACAAUCGAAUCUAGUGUGACUAUAGCUCGUAAGUACGUUCUUCCGCUAAAGCAAAAUAAAUCUUAUUUCUAAAACGUCAGGGUUUGUUUCCAAAUCUGUGACGUAGGCUAGUUUUGACUAAACUUAAAACGACAAAUCAAACGGUUUGUUUCUUUGUAGUGCAAUAUAUGUUUAUCGGUAUAUUUGUAUGAGUUUGGC